UUGCUUAGCAACCCAGACAAAUGUCAAGAGUCUUACCAGAUGCAGAUGAUGCUCUGGGGAAGAGACUGCUCUCACUAGGUCACUGAGAGAAGAGGAAACAUACACAAAGCUGCAUGAAAAAGAUAAUUCACUUUAUCAGUGCAACAGAAGUUUCAUAACAACGUAACUCCAGCAGGACACCUCCAUAUGAAUGGCUUUCCAUAGCACCACACUGGGCAGAUUGCCAGCAAGUUCUACCAGCUUAGCACCACAGUGACUUCUCUGUCAUCUGGUGAGCCUAUGAUCGCCAAUAAAGGUCUGGAUCUCAGCCUGGGCUCUCUUCCUUGGAUCUAUGCUGAACCUAACUGGAAACUGGGUGGCAAGAGUUGAUACAGUCCACACAGGUCGGCCUCCUGGGCAGAGAUCAGAGUAGGACAGGAUGAAGAACACAUCUGGAGGGUCAAAGAGAAGCUAUGACACAGGUACAGACGGAGUUUCACCAUGUUGGCCAGGCUCCAGGCUGGUCUUGAACUCCUGACUUCCGGUGAUCCACCUGCCUCCACCUCUCAAAGUGCUGGGAUUACAAGCGUGAGCCACCACACCUGGUCGCAUGUUGGUUUUUAUUAAUGACACUAGGUUAAAUUACAAAAUAACUUAGAAAAAAAUGACAUCUUAUGAUUGCUAUGUCUUCAGAACAUUGUUACAAACAUCUAUAUAUGCAAAAAAUUCCACUAC
RNAcentral lists this long non-coding RNA (714 nucleotides) under Pan troglodytes (chimpanzee). Its description in RNAcentral is "long non-coding RNA NONPTRT014708". The record is from RNAcentral. Lineage: Eukaryota; Metazoa; Chordata; Mammalia; Primates; Hominidae.